This 427-nucleotide ribosomal RNA is filed under the name uncultured prokaryote. Its description in RNAcentral is "bacterial SSU rRNA". It matches the Rfam family "Bacterial small subunit ribosomal RNA", at positions 355 to 796 of the family's 1533-position model. The record is from RNAcentral.
UGGGGAAUUUUCCGCAAUGGGGGGAACCCUGACGGAGCAACGCCGCGUGCGGGAGGACGGCCUGUGGGUUGUAAACCGCUUUUCUCUGGGAAGAAGCUCUGACGGUACCAGAGGAAUCAGCAUCGGCUAACUCCGUGCCAGCAGCCGCGGUAAGACGGAGGAUGCAAGCGUUAUCCGGAUUUACUGGGUUUAAAGGGUGCGUAGGCGGCUUUUUAAGUCAGUGGUGAAAGCCUAGACACUUAAUGUCAGAAGUGCCAUUGAUACUGAAGAGCUUGAGUCGAGGAGAGGUAAGCAGAAUUUGUGGUGUAGCAGUGAAAUGCUUAGAUACCAUGAGGAAUACCAACAGCGAAAGCAGCUUACUGGCCUUGUACUGACGCUGAGGCACGAAAGCGUGGGGAGCAAACAGGAUUAGAUACCCCUGUAGUCC